GACAAAAGCUGGGGAGAAGAGAGCAUUAGCAUACAGCAGCUAUGGCUGGGGGCCUCGGUCGGCCCCAACUGGGUUUCUGCGGGGUGUUCACUGGUCCUGGGCCUGCAGAAAUGUCGGGCAGGGAACAGCCAGAGCGAUUGUGUGGGUCAGCACUAGUGUCGUGUCUGCGUAAACGCAUACAGUGAUACCUGCAUCUGUGCACACACCCUACAGACAGCACUGCCAGACAGAGCAGCGCUCCUGGAUCUGCUCUAUCAGUAGAGGGGGUUGAUCUCUACUGCUGUGGACUUGGUGUUGAAACGUCAGGAACGCAGGACCACAGGUGGUGGCAAUGUGUCAGAAGAAGGGAGCCAUUCCAGCAGAAAACCAGCAGUCACUCUGGACCCUGUGUGGUGAACCCCAAUGUUGUCUCGGAAGACCGGUGCUGGGGCAUCAGGAACUGACAGGAAGCAGCCUUGGCAAGGCCACACAACAGAAGUAUCUGAGGCCAGAGGAGAAAAAUUCCAU
Fukomys damarensis (Damara mole-rat) is the source of this 507-nucleotide long non-coding RNA. RefSeq lists it as uncharacterized. The record is from RefSeq and is a predicted model, not a curated record. The transcript is spliced from 3 exons. Lineage: Eukaryota; Metazoa; Chordata; Mammalia; Rodentia; Bathyergidae.